RNAcentral lists this long non-coding RNA (402 nucleotides) under Mytilus galloprovincialis (Mediterranean mussel). The record is from RNAcentral. Lineage: Eukaryota; Metazoa; Mollusca; Bivalvia; Mytilida; Mytilidae.
CAAAAAUAGGUGUUUAUUUAUGUAUAGUUGUAUAAGUUGAUUUAGUGUGUAGAUACAGGAAGAUGUAAUACGAGUGCCUCCAUUCAAGUAAAAAUCUAUAAAAGUAAACCAUUAUAGGUCAAGGUACGGCCUUCAACACGGAGCCUUGGCUCACACCGAACAACAAGCUAUAAAAGGCCCCAAAAAAUACUAGUGUAAAACUAUUCAAACGGGAAAACCAACGGUCUAAUUUAUUUAAAACGAGAAACACUUAUGAACCACAUAAACAGACGACAACCACUGAACAUCAGAUUCCUGACUUAGGACAGGUGUUUUUUUUUUCAUUUGAAUGCAUAUUGUUCUUAUAUUUUGGAUCUUGUGUAGACAUCUCAGAUUCAGUGUUGGUGUAUAUUAUCGGAGAAA